This 444-nucleotide ribosomal RNA is filed under the name Triticum aestivum (bread wheat). RNAcentral describes it as "partial small subunit ribosomal RNA". Lineage: Eukaryota; Viridiplantae; Streptophyta; Magnoliopsida; Poales; Poaceae. The record is from RNAcentral.
AUGACAAAAACUCUGGAAGGUCAAGAGGCUUUGGUUUUGUCCAGUUCUCAAAUAAUUCUGAGGCUAAGUGUGCCAAGGACGCUAUGGAUGGAAAGCAUCGCAGAAAAGGACAAGGUGGUGAACCCGUUGUUCGAGAAGAGGCCGAAGCAGUUCGGCAUCGGUGGCGACCUGCCGCCCAAGAAGGACCUCCACCGGUUCGUCAAGUGUCCCAAGGUCAUGUGCAUCCAGUGCCAGCGCCGCAUCCUCAAGCAGCACCUCAAGGUGCCCCCCGCGCUCCACCAGUUCACACGCACCCUCGAUAAGAACCUCGGCCAUUGUUGUGAAGGCCGCCAAGGGAAGGAGUGGGGGAUUUGGCACAAGGCCGGUGAUCGAGUCUAUGCUCUCUCCUCCAUGGAAAGACCUAAAUUCAGCUUGACAGAGAGCACACGAAUGGUUUCAGCUUGA